UCAGGAUGAACGCUGGCGGCGUAGCUUAACACAGUUCAAGUCGAACGGAGUAUUUUGAAAGCUUGCUUUGAGAAUACUAGUGGCGGACGGGUGAGUAAUGCAUGAGCAACCUGCCUUUAAGAGGGGGAUAACGACAGAGAAAUCUGUGCUAAUACCGCAUAGAACACUGAGAUGGCAUCGAUCAUAGUGGGAAAGGAGCAAUCCGGCUUAAAGAUGGGCUCAUGUCUGAUUAGAUAGUUGGCGGGGUAACGGCCCACCAAAUCCGCGAUCAGUAGCCGGACUGAGAGGUUGAACGGCCACAUUGGAACUGAGAUACGGUCCAGACUCCUACGGGAGGCAGCAGUGGGGAAUAUUGGGCAAUGGGCGAAAGCCCUGACCCAGCGACGCCGCGUGAGGGAAGAAGGUCUUCGGAUUGUAAACCUCUGUUGAUAGGAACGAAAAAUGACGGUACCUAUCGAGGAAGCCACGGCUAACUACGUGCCAGCCGCUGC
RNAcentral lists this ribosomal RNA (491 nucleotides) under uncultured bacterium. RNAcentral's name for it is "bacterial SSU rRNA". It matches the Rfam family "Bacterial small subunit ribosomal RNA", at positions 24 to 518 of the family's 1533-position model. The record is from RNAcentral.